Molecule: long non-coding RNA, 476 nt
Filed under: Triticum aestivum (bread wheat)
Lineage: Eukaryota; Viridiplantae; Streptophyta; Magnoliopsida; Poales; Poaceae
Description: long non-coding RNA (TAES_LNC025562)
Source: RNAcentral
ACAUCCUUAAUCCUUUUUUCACACAUAGUGAUCAACAAAGCUAUAAACAGUGAACUCCAUCCUAUGAAAAAAUAGUGUGUGAGCCGGGCGGGGCACCUAGCCGAACUGGACCAGACCAUGUCCAGUGGCAAACCACGUUUUUUUUUCAACCCCAGGAUGCAAUCCCAACAUCGCCAGAAUGUACUGCACGUGCGCUCACUGCCGAAGAGACAAAGCUUAGUGAACUUCAAAGAUGUUUAUACUUGAAAGAUGUUUAUACCAAACAUUUAUGCAAUGCACUUCAACACACAUCUAGAGAAUUGCAAACAAUAUUAAAAAAGAAAGGCUCUAUAGUCCACGGACUCACACGCGAAUUACACCGAGCACAAAGUUAAUUGCAAGGAUACUCUUCAAAAGCAAAAAACAAAACUACUGGGGGAAAACAACACUUGGUCAUGGGACGGAGGCAACCUGUGGUCAGGGGAAGCAUCAAUGAU